UACAGAGGUCUCAAGCGUUGUUCGGAUUCAUUGGGCGUAAAGGGUGUGUAGGUGGCGCCGUAAGUCGGGUGUGAAAUUUCGGAGCUUAACUCCGAAACUGCAUUCGAUACUGCGGUGCUUGAGGACUGGAGAGGAGAGUGGAAUUCAUGGUGUAGCAGUGAAAUGCGUAGAGAUCAUGAGGAAGACCAGUGGCGAAGGCGGGUCUCUGGACAGUUCCUGACACUGAAACACGAAGGCCAGGGGAGCAAACGGG
RNAcentral lists this ribosomal RNA (253 nucleotides) under uncultured bacterium. RNAcentral's name for it is "partial 16S ribosomal RNA". It matches the Rfam family "Bacterial small subunit ribosomal RNA", at positions 524 to 776 of the family's 1533-position model. The record is from RNAcentral.